CAUUUGAUCUCAAAUCAGGUAGGACUACCCACUGAA
This 36-nucleotide ribosomal RNA is filed under the name Tomentella stuposa. RNAcentral describes it as "partial 28S ribosomal RNA". Lineage: Eukaryota; Fungi; Basidiomycota; Agaricomycetes; Thelephorales; Thelephoraceae. The record is from RNAcentral.